CAAGGGGCCUGUUGCACAGGUGCUGCAUGGCUGUCGUCAGCUCGUGUCGUGAGAUGUUGGGUUAAGUCCCGCAACGAGCGCAACCCUCGCCUCCAGUUGCCAGCAUUAAGUUGGGCACUCUGGAGGAACUGCCGGUGCCAAGCCGGAGGAAGGUGGGGAUGACGUCAAGUCCUCAUGGCCCUUAUGGGCUGGGCUACACACGUGCUACAAUGGCGGUGCCAAUGGGAAGCUAGGCCGCGAGGUCGUGCCGAUCCCAAAAAGCCGUCUCAGUUCAGAUUGCACUCUGCAACUCGGGUGCAUGAAGGUGGAAUCGCUAGUAAUCGCGGAUCAG
This 331-nucleotide ribosomal RNA is filed under the name uncultured Hyphomicrobiales bacterium. RNAcentral describes it as "bacterial SSU rRNA". It matches the Rfam family "Bacterial small subunit ribosomal RNA", at positions 1019 to 1352 of the family's 1533-position model. Lineage: Bacteria; Pseudomonadati; Pseudomonadota; Alphaproteobacteria; Hyphomicrobiales. The record is from RNAcentral.